This is a non-coding RNA of Cyanistes caeruleus (blue tit), 1174 nucleotides long. NCBI's taxonomy places the organism in Eukaryota, Metazoa, Chordata, Aves, Passeriformes, Paridae. The record is from RefSeq and is a predicted model, not a curated record.
GUAACCAACAACUACCAAAGCUUGGUGCUGUUCCCAUCAGUUUUCUCAUCCUUAAAAAAGGAACUGAACUGCUUUCAUGAGACCCAGCAUCCCGAGCUGAUCGUCCAGAAGAUCCAGAACAACCAGCUGCAAGGGCUGGCUCAGCAGCUGGUUCCUGGGGCCUGACAGGAAGAUGAGCUUUCUGGUGCUUGGCAUUAGACAAAGAAAAAGAUUAAAUCUCCUUGGCCUGCAGCAGGAUGUUGGGGAAGACGGUUGAACUCAGGAGUGUUCUUAAAAUUUGCUUUUAAAGAAGCUUUUUGCUUUUCCUUAUGGAGCCAAGAUACUAGUUCAUUUAUUUUCUCUAGUUAAGUCAGACCCAUAGAAUUACUGUGGAAAGCUACUGGCAUCAGCUUCGUGUUUGGCUGCCAUAAAUAAGGAAAUCCAUAUCCUCCUUGCCAGUUUUUCAGCAGAACCAACCUGCUUGUUCCUGGGCAGCUGGGUGAAUUGGAUUUUGGAAGGAUGCUUUGUGUCUUUGAAGUCUUUUCUGGCUAAAUACCAUUAAUCUUCAGAGUGAUUCAGUUCUAAAGGUUAACAUCAACUGAUUUUACUAAUUGUUUUCCAUUAGGAGGGCAACUCAGCCAGAAUAGGAGCCUGAUCCUCUUAGCUACUAAUCCUGUUGCUACAACCACUAGCUCAGCUGAUGCUUUUCCUGAGAUGAGUGGCUCUUAAUUGAACACAGGAAUUAAGAUGUGAGCAUAAUGAUGCUGUGAUAACCCUCCUGAUUUUUAUGUCAGCCAAGGUUACUACCAAGCUGCAGGAGCUCACUGAAUAAACCACUGAACACUGGGAAUUCUCCCACUAUAUCACAAUUGCAGAAGCAGAGGUGCUAGGUGGUCUCCUAUUGACUGAAACACAGAACAGGGACACCUGUGAGAUCACAUUUCUGAGGUGUGCUGAAUGCCAUUGAAGCUCAUUGAAUCCUUGAAUCAUCACCUCAUGCAAACACACCUCAGAAGAUCAAAAUGCUGCAGGCUGUGAUCUUUCUGAGAAGAUCUGCAGAUGGCUGCCAUUUAUCUAGACAGAUGAACUCAUUAACAGGAGAAGGAGAAGCAGAGACACACGGACAUUUCUACUGUGUGGUUUGAAGCUACAGUGUAAUGCCCAGGGUCUCUACUGCCCUUGGGAUGCUCAUCUG